CGAUCUCUAUAGUUAGUAUUUGCAUUGCAUGUCAUUGAUUGGGCGGUUCGAUUUCAACUCCGUAAAAGAAGGAAUCUAAAAAUAUCAAAAAGCGUUCCUGUCAAUAUCUCAGCGCCAACUUGUUCUACAACAUCAAGUAAUCAAAUCAAGAAGUAUCCGUUGUUCUCAACCCAAAUCUGGUUUGAAGAGUGGGCAUCAACCCUUUGGUUGCGUAGCUUCUGUUAUUUUCUUGACGGCAAAGCUGAGAGAUCAUGUUGUUUUCAGAAAUGAACACAUCAAUUUUUUUUUAUUUUUUUUUUGGGAUAAUUAUAUCAUUUCAUUAUAGUAAUUCAAC
RNAcentral lists this long non-coding RNA (334 nucleotides) under Citrus x clementina. RNAcentral's name for it is "Citrus clementina (C. clementina) long non-coding RNA (CCLE_LNC006528)". Lineage: Eukaryota; Viridiplantae; Streptophyta; Magnoliopsida; Sapindales; Rutaceae. The record is from RNAcentral.